This 492-nucleotide ribosomal RNA is filed under the name uncultured bacterium. RNAcentral's name for it is "bacterial SSU rRNA". It matches the Rfam family "Bacterial small subunit ribosomal RNA", at positions 29 to 518 of the family's 1533-position model. The record is from RNAcentral.
AACGAACGCUGGCGGCGUGCUUAACACAUGCAAGUCGAACGCGAAAGGGACCUCGGUCCUGAGUAGAGUGGCGCACGGGUGAGUAACGCGUAAGUUAUCUACCCCUCCAUCUGGAAUAACUCACCGAAAGGUGUGCUAAUACCGGAUACGUUGGAAACAAGAAAGGUGGCCUCUUCUAUGCUACCGUGGAGGGAUGAGCUUGCGUACCAUUAGCUAGUUGGUAGGGUAAUGGCCUACCAAGGCAACGAUGGUUAGCGGGUCUGAGAGGAUGAUCCGCCACACUGGAACUGGAACACGGACCAGACUCCUACGGGAGGCAGCAGUGAGGAAUAUUGCGCAAUGGGGGAAACCCUGACGCAGCGACGCCGCGUGGAUGAUGAAGGCCUUUGGGUCGUAAAAUCCUGUCAGAUGGAAAGAAUGUACAUGUGCUAAUAUCACUUGUAUUUGACGGUACCAUCAAAGGAGCACCGGCUAACUCGUGCCAGCAGCCGC